RNAcentral lists this ribosomal RNA (1322 nucleotides) under Cellulomonas sp. PhB143. RNAcentral describes it as "bacterial SSU rRNA". It matches the Rfam family "Bacterial small subunit ribosomal RNA", at positions 199 to 1533 of the family's 1533-position model. The record is from RNAcentral. Lineage: Bacteria; Bacillati; Actinomycetota; Actinomycetes; Micrococcales; Cellulomonadaceae.
GUGGAAAGAUUUAUCGGUUGGGGAUGGUCUCGCGGCCUAUCAGCUUGUUGGUGGGGUAAUGGCCUACCAAGGCGACGACGGGUAGCCGGCCUGAGAGGGCGACCGGCCACACUGGGACUGAGACACGGCCCAGACUCCUACGGGAGGCAGCAGUGGGGAAUAUUGCACAAUGGGCGCAAGCCUGAUGCAGCGACGCCGCGUGAGGGAUGAAGGCCUUCGGGUUGUAAACCUCUUUCAGCAGGGAAGAAGCGAAAGUGACGGUACCUGCAGAAGAAGCGCCGGCUAACUACGUGCCAGCAGCCGCGGUAAUACGUAGGGCGCAAGCGUUGUCCGGAAUUAUUGGGCGUAAAGAGCUCGUAGGCGGUUUGUCGCGUCUGGUGUGAAAACCUCAGGCUCAACCUGGGGCGUGCAUCGGGUACGGGCAGACUAGAGUGCGGUAGGGGUGACUGGAAUUCCUGGUGUAGCGGUGGAAUGCGCAGAUAUCAGGAGGAACACCGAUGGCGAAGGCAGGUCACUGGGCCGCAACUGACGCUGAGGAGCGAAAGCAUGGGGAGCGAACAGGAUUAGAUACCCUGGUAGUCCAUGCCGUAAACGUUGGGCACUAGGUGUGGGGCUCAUUCCACGAGUUCCGUGCCGCAGCAAACGCAUUAAGUGCCCCGCCUGGGGAGUACGGCCGCAAGGCUAAAACUCAAAGGAAUUGACGGGGGCCCGCACAAGCGGCGGAGCAUGCGGAUUAAUUCGAUGCAACGCGAAGAACCUUACCAAGGCUUGACAUACACCGGAAACUUCCAGAGAUGGUUGCCCCGCAAGGUCGGUGUACAGGUGGUGCAUGGUUGUCGUCAGCUCGUGUCGUGAGAUGUUGGGUUAAGUCCCGCAACGAGCGCAACCCUCGUCCUAUGUUGCCAGCACGUGAUGGUGGGGACUCAUAGGAGACUGCCGGGGUCAACUCGGAGGAAGGUGGGGAUGACGUCAAAUCAUCAUGCCCCUUAUGUCUUGGGCUUCACGCAUGCUACAAUGGCCGGUACAAAGGGCUGCGAUACCGCAAGGUGGAGCGAAUCCCAAAAAGCCGGUCUCAGUUCGGAUUGGGGUCUGCAACUCGACCCCAUGAAGUCGGAGUCGCUAGUAAUCGCAGAUCAGCAACGCUGCGGUGAAUACGUUCCCGGGCCUUGUACACACCGCCCGUCAAGUCACGAAAGUCGGUAACACCCGAAGCCGGUGGCCCAACCCUUGUGGGGGGAGCCGUCGAAGGUGGGACCGGCGAUUGGGACUAAGUCGUAACAAGGUAGCCGUACCGGAAGGUGCGGCUGGAUCACCUCCUUUCU